UACGGAGGAUGCAAGCGUUAUCCGGAUUCAUUGGGUUUAAAGGGUGCGUAGGCGGGGCGGUAAGUCAGUGGUGAAAGCCUGCAGCUUAACUGUAGAAUUGCCAUUGAUACUGUCGCUCUUGAAUGCGGUUGAGGCAGGCGGAAUGUGUAAUGUAGCGGUGAAAUGCUUAGAUAUUACACAGAACACCGAUUGCGUAGGCAGCUUGCUAAACCGUGAUUGACGAUGAGGCACGAAAGCGUGGGGAGCAAACAGG
RNAcentral lists this ribosomal RNA (253 nucleotides) under uncultured bacterium. RNAcentral describes it as "partial 16S ribosomal RNA". It matches the Rfam family "Bacterial small subunit ribosomal RNA", at positions 524 to 776 of the family's 1533-position model. The record is from RNAcentral.